Molecule: ribosomal RNA, 916 nt
Filed under: uncultured bacterium
Lineage: Bacteria
Description: bacterial SSU rRNA
Rfam family: Bacterial small subunit ribosomal RNA
Source: RNAcentral
UUGUUGGUAAGGUAAAAGCUUACCAAGGCUUCGAUCAGUAGCUGGUCUGAGAGGACGACCAGCCACACUGGGACUGAGACACGGCCCAGACUCCUACGGGAGGCAGCAGUGGGGAAUUUUGGACAAUGGGGGCAACCCUGAUCCAGCCAUGCCGCGUGAGUGAAGAAGGCCUUCGGGUUGUAAAGCUCUUUCAGCCGGAACGAAACGGUUACGGAUAACACCCGUGACUACUGACGGUACCGGAAGAAGAAGCACCGGCUAACUACGUGCCAGCAGCCGCGGUAAUACGUAGGGUGCGAGCGUUAAUCGGAAUUACUGGGCGUAAAGCGUGCGCAGGUGGUUUUGUAAGUCAGAUGUGAAAGCCCCGGGCUCAACCUGGGAACUGCGUUUGAAACUACAAGACUAGAGUGUGGCAGAGGGGGGUGGAAUUCCGCGUGUAGCAGUGAAAUGCGUAGAGAUGUGGAGGAACACCGAUGGCGAAGGCAGCCCCCUGGGUCAACACUGACGCUCAGGCACGAAAGCAUGGGGAGCAAACAGGAUUAGAUACCCUGGUAGUCCAUGCCCUAAACGAUGUCAACUAGUUGUCGGGCCUUUACGGGCUUGGUAACGUAGCUAACGCGUGAAGUUGACCGCCUGGGGAGUACGAUCGCAAGAUUAAAACUCAAAUGAAUUGACGGGGACCCGCACAAGCGGUGGAUUAUGUGGAUUAAUUCGAUGCAACGCGAAAAACCUUACCUACCCUUGACAUGUAUCGAAGCCCGCAGAAAAGCGGGGGUGCCCGAAAGGGAACGAUAACACAGGUGCUGCAUGGCUGUCGUCAGCUCGUGUCGUGAGAUGUUGGGUUAAGUCCCGCAACGAGCGCAACCCUUGUCAUUAAUUGCCAUCAUUUAGUUGGGCACUUUAAUGAGACCGCCGG